Long non-coding RNA from Peromyscus eremicus (cactus mouse), 727 nucleotides. RefSeq lists it as uncharacterized. Lineage: Eukaryota; Metazoa; Chordata; Mammalia; Rodentia; Cricetidae. The record is from RefSeq and is a predicted model, not a curated record. The transcript is spliced from 3 exons.
ACUAUGGGUUUUUUUGCCCCCUUUGGGCAUGGCAUGAUAACUCAUUGCUGUUUUUGAGAAGAGAUUGCCUCUCUUUGGUAAACAUAGCAACUAACUGAACAAUAGACGGUAGCUAUGACUGAACAAAACCAGAUAGCUAGAUCCAGGGUAAUGUUAAUGGAGCUGAAAAUACUUGCUACAAGGAGCUAGGUGAGGAGUCAGCUGUUACUCUCCCUCUAGCCCUUCCUCAGCAGUCUUGGGAAAUGUUAAAGUUUAUAGAAAGUGGGAGAUUAAUGAAAAGGGUGCUCUGUGGUGCAGCUUCCAUGAGGCCAUCACCCAUGAUGGUGUGGGACUUUGUGGUGAGGCCACUGUUUAAGAUCCUCCACACUUCUGAUCUCAUUUAUCCCAAGUUGGCUUUGAAUUCCCCAUCCUCACACCUCUACCUUUGGAGUGCUAAGAUUUUAGCAGAUCCCUGCCCAGUGAAUGGAGAGAACUUGGGGGACAGGCUCAGACCCGUGUUACCAAAAGUGCACAGGUACCACAUGUGGGGCUCCUCUGUGAGGAGCUAAGAAACAGGAUAAAGGCCAAGAGUCGGGUCAAAGAAGAAAACAGCAGCAAAAAAGAAACACAGGUCGUUAAUGUAUUCAUCUUUCAUAGGAGAACAUUAAUUAGUACGCCAGAAGUUCAUAAUCAAAGAAUAUGUGGUUAAAUACAUUACUACAGUAUGAAUAAAAUAAUAAUAACUAAA